UUAGCUCAAAGAUUAUGAUAACCGGCAAGAAUUCACAUACUCAAAUAUCGGUCUCCCACACACAAAAAAAAAACUUCCCAACACCAUUGCUAAAAAUGAAUCUAUUAAUCAACAUAAGCAAAGAUAGAAGAAAUAAAAUGGUACAUGAAAAGAUUGAUCCAAUUCCUUCUCAAAAUAAAAGUCAUUUCAAGCAUAUUACUAGAAACCAGCAAGAGGUACAUCUUCAACCAAGUAUCCACUCCCAAACAAAAUCUCUCACUACACAAACCUUGAACUUCUCUCAAUCUCUGAACACUACAGAUUUCUUUCACCUUUUUAGGGGAUAGAUAACACGACCCAACAUUUGGGAGGACAAAGGCCCUAAUGCAGGGAACCCUUCAUUUAC
This 385-nucleotide long non-coding RNA is filed under the name Triticum aestivum (bread wheat). Its description in RNAcentral is "long non-coding RNA (TAES_LNC028599)". Lineage: Eukaryota; Viridiplantae; Streptophyta; Magnoliopsida; Poales; Poaceae. The record is from RNAcentral.